AGGGGUCACAGUGAAGACAACACGUACGAUUUCCAACUGAAUGCAUAACUGUCUGUAGAGUUAUGCUUAUCAUCUUGCAUGUUGUCUUCAUAUUUAAACCAGCAUAUUAUAUCUUUUUUUUUGUAUCCGGACUGAUAUGCCGUUAUUAACAAAGUCAAAUUACUUUGGCAUGAACAUCAUUCUAACAACUCUAUACUGAAUGUUUAAGUUAUAAAAUCAUUGUUUUUAAAUGUGACUAAUGUAUAAAUUUGACACUUUUAUGAUUGCAUUUUUCAUCUAGUAUCACUUUAUAAUAACUUUGUUUCACUUUUUCUGAAGACUCUACUGCUGUUUUACAGUUAACACAGCACAACACAGAAGAAGCCUUUGGGUAUGAAAGGAAGAAUUGAACUGUAAACGGCAUCAGUGCCACAGUGGAUUACUGAAUUUCUCUCUUAUUCUAUGCUGGUUUUCCAGUCACACCUCUGGCCACAAUGUCACCCUGAACUAAGUAGUACACGAUGUCAAACAUCCAGAAGACCACUAGGUCCAGGGCCACCACAAGGCCUCCAACAGCAAUGUGUCUGAGGAUAGAUAAUCCGCUGAGCGCGGUGGCCUGCCUCUCCUUAUCGCUACUCGUCUUUGGGAACCUUGUUACCUUGCCCUACUUCUCUUCAAGGAAGUAUGAUCCAUUAGGCUUGCAAUUCCCCUUCGCCAGUCACUCUCCCCAUCGGCUCCUUGCUUUCAACUCACAGGGACAGAUCCCAGCGUGACAUUUGGAUUGAAACCCAACACCACUGGACUGACUCAACUAAGUCAGCUAAGGAUAUGAAACAACAACAAUUUAAAAAAGGAAACAUGACGCAAGACCUUCUACUCUAUAAUUUCGAAAGAAAAUGGAAGAGGCACUUCCAGUCAUUUGAAACAGUGAAAACGGUCA
RNAcentral lists this long non-coding RNA (919 nucleotides) under Scleropages formosus (Asian bonytongue). Its description in RNAcentral is "lncRNA (ENSSFOG00015031682.1)". The record is from RNAcentral. Lineage: Eukaryota; Metazoa; Chordata; Actinopteri; Osteoglossiformes; Osteoglossidae.